GACGAACGCUGGCGGCGUGCUUAACACAUGCAAGUCGAACGAAGAGCGAUGGAAGCUUGCUUCUAUCAAUCUUAGUGGCGAACGGGUGAGUAACGCGUAAUCAACCUGCCCUUCAGAGGGGGACAACAGUUGGAAACGACUGCUAAUACCGCAUACGAUCUAACCUCGGCAUCGAGGAUGGAUGAAAGGUGGCCUCUAUUUAUAAGCUAUCACUGCAGGAGGGGAUUGCGUCUGAUUAGCUAGUUGGAGGGGUAACGGCCCACCAAGGCGAUGAUCAGUAGCCGGUCUGAGAGGAUGAACGGCCACAUUGGGACUGAGACACGGCCCAGACUCCUACGGGAGGCAGCAGUGGGGAAUCUUCCGCAAUGGACGAAAGUCUGACGGAGCAACGCCGCGUGAGUGAUGACGGCCUUCGGGUUGUAAAGCUCUGUUAAUCGGGACGAAAGGCCUUCUUGCGAGUAGUUAGAAGGAUUGACGGUACCGGAAGAGAAAGCCACGGCUAACUACGUG
RNAcentral lists this ribosomal RNA (510 nucleotides) under uncultured bacterium. RNAcentral describes it as "partial 16S ribosomal RNA". It matches the Rfam family "Bacterial small subunit ribosomal RNA", at positions 28 to 507 of the family's 1533-position model. The record is from RNAcentral.